RNAcentral lists this ribosomal RNA (253 nucleotides) under uncultured bacterium. Its description in RNAcentral is "partial 16S ribosomal RNA". It matches the Rfam family "Bacterial small subunit ribosomal RNA", at positions 524 to 776 of the family's 1533-position model. The record is from RNAcentral.
UACAGAGGGGGCAAGCGUUAUUCGGAAUUAUUGGGCGUAAAGGGCGCGUAGGCGGCUUGGCAAGUGGAAGGUGAAAUCCCUCGGCUCAACUGAGGAACUGCCUUCCAGACUGCUUUGCUUGAGUCCGGGAGAGGUGAGUGGAAUUCCCAGUGUAGCGGUGAAAUGCGUAGAUAUUGGGAGGAACACCAGUGGCGAAGGCGGCUCACUGGACCGGAACUGACGCUGAGGCGCGAAAGCUAGGGGAGCGAACAGG